This is a long non-coding RNA of Papaver somniferum (opium poppy), 751 nucleotides long. RefSeq lists it as uncharacterized. The record is from RefSeq and is a predicted model, not a curated record. The transcript is spliced from 4 exons. Lineage: Eukaryota; Viridiplantae; Streptophyta; Magnoliopsida; Ranunculales; Papaveraceae.
UUACCCCUGAGUCAUAGAAAUUGACAAAAAUGCCCUCGAUAUUAUAUCAAAAAAUUACAUUUCUUCUUUUCUCAUUUUCUUCGUUUGUUCCGUCAAGAGGAGAGAUGGGAGAUAAGCAACCAAACCCGAUCUCCAUCAUCGCCCUCAUCUGAUAUCUCCUUCGUCUUCAACUGAUAUUCUCCUUCAUCACCUCAUCUCAUCUUUUGAUCUGUUUCAUAUCAUCUAAAAGCUUCCUUUUGAAUCAUCAUCAUCUUCAGGUAUAAUAUCCUGGUUAGUGCUACCAAAUCAUCAGGGCUAGUUCGCAUAUAACCUUAUACAUUAUCUCAGUAGGCAGACAUUUGUUUCCAUCACUGGAUCCUAAAGCAGUUCUCUAUGGAGAAAAAAGAAGAUGAAAAAGCAAAUAAGAUAACUUUUAGGAGCAUCCCAGCAUUUAGAGGAUUAUUUAUUGACCAAUGUUUGGCACAAGCUACUGAGCAUGGGUUUUCUGGAACUUCUUUGAAGCAAACUUCGUGGGGAAAUUUGUGCAAAUACUUUUCUGAGAAGUAUGAAUGCACUAUCACCCAAAAGAAAUUGAGAAACCACUGGGAUUACUUGCGCACCCAAUAUGUCACUUGGUCCCGUCUCUUAGCAAGAACCGGGCAUGGGUACAACGCGGAGACGAACACUUUUGAUUGGAGCGAAGAGCAGUGGAUUGAAUUAGACAAGACAAUCAAAAACGCCAGUCAAUUCAAGAACAAGGGACUGGAAGAUG